Non-coding RNA from Thalictrum thalictroides, 79 nucleotides. Lineage: Eukaryota; Viridiplantae; Streptophyta; Magnoliopsida; Ranunculales; Ranunculaceae. The record is from the annotation of a GenBank genome assembly.
AGCAAAAUGAUGAGUUGAUGAUUCUGAAUUUUUAUGUUGAAAAAUUUAGUAUAAUGGUCUUCAAAGUUCUCUGAUUGCU